Molecule: long non-coding RNA, 200 nt
Filed under: Elaeis guineensis (African oil palm)
Lineage: Eukaryota; Viridiplantae; Streptophyta; Magnoliopsida; Arecales; Arecaceae
Description: long non-coding RNA (EGUI_LNC029533)
Source: RNAcentral
GAUGGGAGUCCUUCCUUUCAAUAUUGAGGCUUUUGUGACCUAUAAAAAAUCAAAAUAGCCAUUUUAAGACAUACUAGAGGAAGAAUUGAAUAUAAGUUUGAUAAUUUUAAUUAUUAAAAUAAAAUAAAAAUAAAGCUAAUAGUCUAAAAAUAAUAAUAUAAAAAAAUAUAAAAUAUAAAAUCAUAUCUAUCGUGGACACC